UUUGUCCAGUAUGAGAGAUUUAAUUAAAAGAACCACCUACCUUUUUUUCCUUCUUUGCUGUUUUCAUUCCCAAUUUAUUCCUACUUUCAAUCGCUGAGCCAACUCCCGCAACAAAACACACAUCACCAGUGACAAUACGUAAGAGUAAAAUUUGUGUUUGUAAAUCAUGAAAAUUCAACCAAUUAUAUCUAAAUCCCAGUGGUUCCUAGUUAAUCAAUGAAUUACCUUAGAAAGAUAUGAAGGCGCAAACACUUUCUUAUCAGUUUUAUCUCAAACCCCAACGUUUUAUCGCGAAAUAAACAGUUGAAACUAAAUUUACAGAAAGCAUAGUGAAAAUUUAUUAAAAAGUUGUAACAUAGACGUGUAACAUACCCCGAUCUUUCUGAAGAAACCGGUUGAUUAACCAAGAACCAGAUUUGGUUAAUCUUAAUAAUUUACACACGCAAAUUUUACUUCUACACAUUACCACAGACGGUAAAAUGUCUUUCUUGCAGGAAUAGGUGCUGUCUACAACACUGUCGAUUGAAGAUAGGAAUGAAGCGGGGACAAAACAAAGAAGACGAAUAGAAGGUGAAGAAAAGACUCAAACAAAAAAGACAAGUUUAAUGCCAACUCCCAAAAACAACCCUACACAACACAAAGGUCUCCUUACUCCAGAAAGGUCAAAGUCUUCAGGAUUAAACUGAACCUUUAGAUCUUCAUCAUGGUACCUUAAAACUCUGCCCACUUUGUCACCUAUCUAUAAAAAAUGCUUUAAUAUUA
Ciona intestinalis (vase tunicate) is the source of this 762-nucleotide non-coding RNA. Lineage: Eukaryota; Metazoa; Chordata; Ascidiacea; Phlebobranchia; Cionidae. The record is from RefSeq and is a predicted model, not a curated record.